UACGAAGGGGGCUAGCGUUGUUCGGAAUUACUGGGCGUAAAGCGCACGUAGGCGGAUAUUUAAGUCAGGGGUGAAAUCCCGCAGCUCAACUGCGGAACUGCCUUUGAUACAGCACAUCUGGAGUCCGGAAGAGGUGGGUGGAAUUCCUAGUGUAGAGGUGAAAUUCGUAGAUAUUAGGAAGAACACCGGUGGCGAAGGCGGCC
This 203-nucleotide ribosomal RNA is filed under the name uncultured bacterium. RNAcentral describes it as "partial 16S ribosomal RNA". It matches the Rfam family "Bacterial small subunit ribosomal RNA", at positions 524 to 726 of the family's 1533-position model. The record is from RNAcentral.